UGGGGAAUAUUGCACAAUGGGCGCAAGCCUGAUGCAGCCAUGCCGCGUGUAUGAAGAAGGCCUUCGGGUUGUAAAGUACUUUCAGUCGGGAGGAAGGUGGUAAGGUUAAUAACCUUGGCAAUUGACGUUACCGACAGAAGAAGCACCGGCUAACUCCGUGCCAGCAGCCGCGGUAAUACGGAGGGUGCAAGCGUUAAUCGGAAUUACUGGGCGUAAAGCGCACGCAGGCGGUUGAUUGAGUCAGAUGUGAAAUCCCCGGGCUUAACCCGGGAAUUGCAUCUGAUACUGGUCAGCUAGAGUCUUGUGGAGGGGGGUAGAAUUCCAUGUGUAGCGGUGAAAUGCGUAGAGAUGUGGAGGAAUACCGGUGGCGAAGGCGGCCCCCUGGACAAAGACUGACGCUCAGGUGCGAAAGCGUGGGGAGCAAACAGG
Molecule: ribosomal RNA, 429 nt
Filed under: Chloroflexota bacterium
Lineage: Bacteria; Bacillati; Chloroflexota
Description: Chloroflexi bacterium partial 16S ribosomal RNA
Rfam family: Bacterial small subunit ribosomal RNA
Source: RNAcentral